UACGGAGGAUCCAAGCGUUAUCCGGAUUUAUUGGGUUUAAAGGGUGCGUAGGCGGUUUUAUAAGUUAGAGGUGAAAAUUCGGGGCUCAACUCCGGACGUGCCUCUAAUACUGUAUGACUAGAGAAUAGAUGCGGUAGGCGGAAUGUAUGGUGUAGCGGUGAAAUGCGUAGAGAUCAUACAGAACACCGAUUGCGAAGGCAUCUCACGAAUCCGCGAUUGACGCUGAUGCACGAAAGCGUGGGUAUCAAACAGG
RNAcentral lists this ribosomal RNA (253 nucleotides) under uncultured Rikenellaceae bacterium. RNAcentral's name for it is "partial 16S ribosomal RNA". It matches the Rfam family "Bacterial small subunit ribosomal RNA", at positions 524 to 776 of the family's 1533-position model. Lineage: Bacteria; Pseudomonadati; Bacteroidota; Bacteroidia; Bacteroidales; Rikenellaceae. The record is from RNAcentral.